Molecule: ribosomal RNA, 506 nt
Filed under: fungal sp. AMO3-2
Lineage: Eukaryota; Fungi
Description: eukaryotic LSU rRNA
Rfam family: 5.8S ribosomal RNA (bases 156-309)
Source: RNAcentral
ACUCCAAACCAUUGUGAACAUACCUAGCACCGUUGCUUCGGCGGGCGGCCCCGGGCCUCUCCGGGCGCCCUUCGGCCCCUCGCGGGUGCCCGCCGGAGGUAUACAACCCUUGUACUUUGCAUGGCUUCUCUGAGUCUUCGUACUUAAUAAGUCAAAACUUUCAACAACGGAUCUCUUGGUUCUGGCAUCGAUGAAGAACGCAGCGAAAUGCGAUAAGUAAUGUGAAUUGCANAAUUCAGUGAAUCAUCGAAUCUUUGAACGCACAUUGCGCCCGCCAGCACUCUGGCGGGCAUGCCUGUUCGAGCGUCAUUUCAACCAUCAAGCCCCCGGGCUUGCGUUGGGGACCUGCGGCUGCCCGCAGGCCCUGAAAACCAGUGGCGGGCUCGCUGUCACCCCGGUCGUAGUAGUAUCAUCUCGUCCAGGGCGUGGCUGCGGGCUCCGGCCGUUAAACCUUCUCAAACCCAAAGGUUGACCUCGGAUCAGGUAGGAAUACCCGCUGAACUUAA